Molecule: long non-coding RNA, 2266 nt
Organism: Arachis stenosperma
Lineage: Eukaryota; Viridiplantae; Streptophyta; Magnoliopsida; Fabales; Fabaceae
Exons: 8
Source: RefSeq, a predicted model, not a curated record
UUAUUACAGUAUUUUUUUACUAUAACAUUAUUAUCCACCAACUAUGACCCAAAAUCAUUUUUCAGCUUAUUCUUGUCCUCUUAUAUAUAUGUUAAACGCGAAGAGAAGACCAAAAAAAUUGUUAAACUCCAAGAUAAGAUGAGAGACCGAGCAGCAAGUCUUGGUAGAGGGAGUAAUUGGCGCCGGCAAGGGAAAGACUUACUUUAUUUUGCUGGUGGGUGCUGCAAAUGAAGAAUGAAUGGCCUGCCGCACUUGAAGAAGAGAGAUUACAAGAUGUCGACAUCGGCAAUGGUGGAGCUAGCUUUCUAUCCUCGCCAAUGAAACCUAUGGAAUGAUGCAGCAAAAGAGUGGAGCCACAGAGACAGGCUUUUGGUGGUUUGAAGUCACUCAAAGCAUCAGAAGUGGCGGAGGAAAAAAUAAUCAUUUUGGGACUGGAAUCUUAGCAGCAAGUUGACGGCACCGGUGACGAAAACGGAGAGCUUUGAUAUCCUAUCUUGGGCGGUAUUACAGAGUGGUAGCAAGUAACUAAGAGCUAAAAUCAUGUUUAGGAAAUUCACUGAAUUUUGAAUAUGGUCUUGAAUGAACUAGACAAGACCUUGCAUCACCAAAGAAGCCACUUUCUGAAGGUGAGAAGAGUGUCUUAAGGUGGGAUGUCAAGAUUUUGGCGCUUUGUUCAGAGUUGAAGAGGAAAAGGGAAGGAAAUUGGGCAGAUCACCAACAAGCCUCAUAUAUAGGAAGCUUAUUGAAAGAGUACUGUGAACCUCUUCUUGCCAAGAUACAACAAACUAUGACAAGGCUAUUAUGAUUGCAUAUGCUCUACUAGCGCCAAAACUCUUUAGUGCCUUCAAACAAAAUUUUCAUGGUGGUGUUCUCCAAGAGAGAAAUAUUGUGCAUUGGAUUAGACUCACAAUAGCUCAGUGUUUCAAAGACAUCAUAGCCAGGCACAAUUUGCAGAAGCAUUGUAUGGUGAUCUGACAUGGUAUAAGAUUUUAAUCAUUACAUGGAUUAAUGCUGAUUUUAGAGGGUUAGUUGAUACAGUACAUACAAACUCUCUUUGUAUUUCAUUUUUCAAAGUUGUCCAUCAUUUUAGAUUGCAGUCACGGUGGUGCUAGAAAAGUUGGUUUAAUUUAUCUCAAUAUAUAUAUACAUAGACGAUGUCAAAAUGUGAUUUUAACUGUCCAUUUUUUAGUGUUUAAGUUAGUACUUUGUUGUGGUUAUGUAUAAAAAUGCCAACUGCAAAUAAAAUAGAAGUUUUGUAGCUAACAAGGUAAUGUCUAAAUGCGUGUUUGAGGUUAAAUAGAAGCAGCUUGAUUUAUUCCAUUUUUGCAUUCUAUUUUUGCAUAGUUAUCAUUGUAAGUAAAGCAUUUUAAUAGGCAACAAUAUUGGUAUUUCUUAAGGUCCUUUAUUGAUUUGUUUUAACAAACAUUUUUAAAUGAGUAUGUUGUAAGUAAAGCGUUCUAUGCUGUUUUGAUAAAUGAUAUUGCUGCAAUGUAGUUUAAUUAAGUUAUAUGCUUAGUUCUAUCUUUGCAUGUGUGUAGGUCUAAAAUUAAAAUUGAUAAAGUUUGAGAAAAGAAAACACAUUAUUAUUGCUCAAUCUGAAACAUGAUCUAAUAGCUUUCUUUUUUCAUAUUUAUAAAUGCAUCAGUUUUCUUUUGUGAAGCUAUUUUUAUCAUUGUGAUGCAAAAUUUUUAAGUCAACAUAAUACUUUUUCUUUCGGACAGUAGUCUGUUCACAAACUCCAAUUGAUUUGCAUUCCAAGAGGAUAGAAUUGACCAGAUUGGAACAAACAAUAUAGUUAGCGUGAACAAAUUUUUGCCUAAAUCCUAAAUUGAAUUUCAGGCAGGAAGGAAAAAUUAUUUGCCUGUAAAGAUCUUGGAGCUGAUGUUGCUAUCAGGCACCAGUGAAGGAAAGAUUUGUGCAAUAACGAAAGCUUUUAUAUCAGUUGCCACUGCCUGUAUUGCUGUAGGUUUUGAUGUCAUAUGUAUGGAUCAAAUUGUGGGAUUGUACCUUUAGCGAAAUCUCCACAGCUUAAACUUUGAUGGAAGGCUUUUCUCCAUUAGGCCUCUAAUUAUGCGAGUUCAUAGUAUUUGUAAAAAUAAUAGAAUAAGAUGCUAAAAAGAUAAGAUAUUACUAUAUUUUUUUAUACAAUUUAUUUGUAUUCAAUGUAUAGUUGUAGAUAGUAAUGUUUGGUUUCAGUUUAAAUAUAUAUAUUUUUUAUUUGAAAUUAAAUGUACAACACAAACUACCAUUGAAUAAGUACACAAUC